Molecule: ribosomal RNA, 460 nt
Filed under: uncultured bacterium
Lineage: Bacteria
Description: partial 16S ribosomal RNA
Rfam family: Bacterial small subunit ribosomal RNA
Source: RNAcentral
CCUACGGGGGGCAGCAGUGAGGAAUAUUGGUCAAUGGACGAGAGUCUGAACCAGCCACGUAGCGUGAAGGAUGACUGCCCUAUGGGUUGUCAACUUCUUUUAUAUGGGAAUAAAAUGUUCCACGUGUGGGAUUUUGUAUGUACCAUAUGAAUAAGGAUCGGCUAACUCCGUGCCAGCAGCCGCGGUAAUACGGAGGAUCCGAGCGUUAUCCGGAUUUAUUGGGUUUAAAGGGAGCGUAGGUGGAUUGUUAAGUCAGUUGUGAAAGUUUGCGGCUCAACCGUAAAAUUGCAGUUGAAACUGGAAGGCUUGAGUACAGUAGAGGUAGGCGGAAUUCGUGGUGUAGCGGUGAAAUGCUUAGAUAUCACGAAGAACUCCGAUUGCGAAGGCAGUUCACUGGACUGCAACUGACACUGAGGCUCGAAAGUGUGGGGAUCAAACAGGAUUAGAUACCCUUGUAGUC